GGCGCCGUGGCUCAGUUGGUUAAAAGUGCCUGUCUAGUGUAAACAGGGAGUGUCACGAGUUCGAAUCUCGUCGGUGCCU
Molecule: non-coding RNA, 79 nt
Organism: Trichonephila inaurata madagascariensis
Lineage: Eukaryota; Metazoa; Arthropoda; Arachnida; Araneae; Nephilidae
Source: the annotation of a GenBank genome assembly